UCCGUAGGUGAACCUGCGGAAGGAUCAUUAGUGAACGCCCUCACGGGCUUAUAACUAUUCCAAACCUCUGUGAACCGUGCCCUUCGGGGCUAUUUUACAAACAUGGUGUAAUGAACGUCAUAUAUCAUAACAAAACAAAACUUUCAACAACGGAUCUCUUGGCUCUCGCAUCGAUGAAGAACGCAGCGAAAUGCGAUAAGUAAUGUGAAUUGCAGAAUUCAGUGAAUCAUCGAAUCUUUGAACGCACCUUGCGCCCUCUGGUAUUCCGGAGGGCAUGCCUGUUUGAGUGUCAUGUAGACUCAAUCCCUCGGGUUUCCGAGGAGAUUGGACUUGGGUGUUGCCGCUCUGCCGGCUCGCCUUAAAAGACUUAGCGGGAUAGCACCGUAGUCGGCGUAAUAAGUUUCGUCGGUGAAGGUUGUGAUGACUGCUUACAAUCGCCCUCGGGCAAUUUUUGACUCUGACCUCAAAUCAGGUAGGACUACCCGCUGAACUUAAGCAUAUCAAUAAGCGGAGGAAGUCGACUGCCAAGGGGCACACAGGGGGGGAUA
RNAcentral lists this ribosomal RNA (548 nucleotides) under uncultured fungus. RNAcentral describes it as "eukaryotic LSU rRNA". The stretch from base 139 to 292 matches the Rfam family "5.8S ribosomal RNA". Lineage: Eukaryota; Fungi. The record is from RNAcentral.